Molecule: long non-coding RNA, 297 nt
Organism: Anthonomus grandis grandis
Lineage: Eukaryota; Metazoa; Arthropoda; Insecta; Coleoptera; Curculionidae
Exons: 2
Source: RefSeq, a predicted model, not a curated record
AAAACAUCUAUAAUGUUUAUUGUGUUUGUUUUCUCUUAAUAAAAUAUGGGAAAUAAAUUAACACAAUUAGUUCUUAUAUUUCCUAGAACACUUCCAAUCCUAAGAAUGGAUGAGGACAAAUUGCUAUGAUAUUUUUCUUCACACAAGACAUUCUCUGACUGCUGCCUGCUAGACAAUACUGAUUGAAUUGAACAAUUGUGGAGAUUCAACUGUUUUAAGUCCCCUGUUAUUUCUAUUAUAUAUUAAUGAUAUCUUUAAUGUUAUAAAUGAUUGUAAAAUAGAGUUUUUUGCUGACGA